Molecule: ribosomal RNA, 387 nt
Filed under: uncultured bacterium
Lineage: Bacteria
Description: bacterial SSU rRNA
Rfam family: Bacterial small subunit ribosomal RNA
Source: RNAcentral
AGAGUUUGUACAUUGCUCAAUAGCGUACGCUGGCGGCGUGCCUAACACAUGCAAGUCGAACGUGAAAGGGGGCAACCCCGAGUAAAGUGGCGUACGGGUGAGUAACGCGUAGAUAAUCUACCCAAUAGUCUGGAAUACCUGCCGAAAGGCGGGCUAAUACUAGAUAGAGCGAUGGAUCUCGUGAUGAGUUUUUCGGGAAGGGAGCCUGCGAGGGCCUUCGCUUUUGGAUGAGUCUGCGUCCCAUUAGUUAGUUGGCACGGUAAUGGUCCUACCAAUACGAUGAUGGGUAACUGGUCUGAGAGGAUGAUCAGCCACACUGGAACUGAAACACUGUCCAUACUCCUUCGGAAUGCCAACAUGGGGAAUCUUGCGUAUUGACUAAAGUCU